This is a non-coding RNA of Equus caballus (horse), 853 nucleotides long. The record is from RefSeq and is a predicted model, not a curated record. NCBI's taxonomy places the organism in Eukaryota, Metazoa, Chordata, Mammalia, Perissodactyla, Equidae.
CCAUGGGGACCCUCCUCUCCGUGAGAGGAUACAAUGUGAAGUCAGCAGGCUUCAACCCAGGAGAGGGUUUACACCAGAACCUGACCGUGCUAGCACCCUGAUUUUGGGCUUCCAGGCUCCAGAACUACGAGAAAUAAGUUUCUGUUGUUUUUAAUGUUGAAAGUUUAGCUAAACUGCUCCAUAUUGUUGCCUCAGCAUCCAUUUUGUGUGGUUACGUAGCCUCCAGGGGCCUUGAACUGCGUAGCCCCUCCCUAGAGCGCAUGCCUUAAAGAACAGCCUGCAGAGUCACAGCGACCAAUCCAGCCUUAGCCUGGGAACCCCAAAACAUUCUACCCUUGGACUCUAAUAAAAGCGUAUGUCCCAGAUCCUGCUGCUCAUACUCUGCCUGCACCCUGCCUUGACCUCCCUGUGUGGCUCCUCGAGAUACCUCCUCCAGGACCUGAACCACAUCUAACCACACCCCUUCAAAUCAUCUACCUGCAAAGAAGGAGGGGAAACCCAGAUGUCAGCAGAACAGAGGAGCGGAAGGAUAUUGGAAGAGCAGCAGUUAUAGCAUCUCAAAGAGCGAGUGUUAUGGACAAGAGCCCCGGCGAAGGCCACUGUGCCGUGUGACACCUCCGAUGCCUCAUUUAGAGGGAUUUCAAAAGGAUUAAAUAAUUGUGAUUUUGGUCCUCUUGGUUUCUCUGAUGCUGCUGGGGCUCCCAUUUGCCUGAAGGGGCAUUCCUGUGAGUCAGCAUCCUCUCUAAUCAACAUGUUGCAGAAAAGUGUUUACACACAACAUCCAGAGAAGAGGUGGGAUGCCUACCACAGCAUGGCAUGCCUAGCGGUGCCAUGUCCGCAGCCGGGAUCUGAA